Molecule: ribosomal RNA, 253 nt
Filed under: uncultured bacterium
Lineage: Bacteria
Description: partial 16S ribosomal RNA
Rfam family: Bacterial small subunit ribosomal RNA
Source: RNAcentral
UACAGAGGGUGCGAGCGUUAAUCGGAAUUACUGGGCGUAAAGCGCACGUAGGCGGCUUGGUAUGUCGGGUGUGAAAUCCCCGGGCUCAACCUGGGAACUGCAUCCGAAACUGCCUUGCUCGAGUAUGGGAGAGGGAAGUGGAAUUUCCGGUGUAGCGGUGAAAUGCGUAGAUAUUCGCAGGAACACCAGUGGCGAAGGCGACUUGCUGGAUCUUUGCUGACUCUGAGACGCGAAAUCGUGGGGAGCAAACAGG